This 523-nucleotide ribosomal RNA is filed under the name uncultured bacterium. Its description in RNAcentral is "bacterial SSU rRNA". It matches the Rfam family "Bacterial small subunit ribosomal RNA", at positions 8 to 526 of the family's 1533-position model. The record is from RNAcentral.
AGAGUUUGAUCCUGGCUAAGGAUGAACGCUAGCGGCGGGCCUAAUACAUGCAAGUCGAACGGGAUUGAAGGUAGCAAUACUGACAUGAGAGUGGCGCACGGGUGCGUAACACGUAUGUAACCUGCCUUAAACUGGGGCAUAGCUUCGAGAAAUCGAAAUUAAUACCCCAUAACAUUUAGAAAAGGCAUCUUUUCUUUAUCAAAGCUCAGGCGGUUUAAGAUGGACAUGCGGUGCAUUAGCUAGUUGGUGAGGUAACGGCUCACCAAGGCUACGAUGCAUAGGGGGUCUGAGAGGAUGAUCCCCCACACUGGUACUGAGACACGGACCAGACUCCUACGGGAGGCAGCAGUAGGGAAUAUUGGGCAAUGGACGCAAGUCUGACCCAGCCACGCCGCGUGAAGGAUGACUGCCCUAUGGGUUGUAAACUUCUUUUGUAUGGGAAGAAACCUUCGAACGUGUUCGAAGCUGACGGUACCAUAAGAAUAAGGAUCGGCUAACUCCGUGCCAGCCGCCGCGGUAAUAC